RNAcentral lists this ribosomal RNA (313 nucleotides) under uncultured bacterium. Its description in RNAcentral is "bacterial SSU rRNA". It matches the Rfam family "Bacterial small subunit ribosomal RNA", at positions 29 to 334 of the family's 1533-position model. The record is from RNAcentral.
AACGAACGCUGGCGGCGCGCCUAAUACAUGCAAGUCGAGCGAGAAGACGUAGCAAUACGUUUGUAAAGCGGCGAACGGGUGAGGAAUACAUGGGUAACCUACCUCGAGUGGGGAGUAACUAGCCGAAAGGUUAGCUAAUACCGCGUACGCUCCUUGGGACUUCGGUUCAGGGAGGAAAGCGAUACCGUGGGUAUCGCGCUCUUGGAUGGGCUCAUGUCCUAUCAGCUUGUUGGGAGGUAACGGCUCACCAAGGCUUCGACGGGUAGCUGUCUGAGAGGACGAUCAGCCACACUGGCACUGCGACACGGGCCAG